UUUUGGUUCGAUCUGUUUGCUUCUCACCCUGAUCCAAAUGUUUAGAUAGUGAGCAAAUUUCAUCUGAUUUCAGAUUAAUUAAGCACCGUCUGAACUACUGUGGUCGAUAGAGUUUAAAUCCGAUCAAUUUAAAUUUGUCUCAAAACUCUAACUAUGGAACUCGGAUAUAUGCACACGUUUUAUUAAAGGAAAACAGACAGAUGAAAUCUAGUUCUUUUUAUUGAUUUGGUCUUAUCUUUCCACCGCUCUUCCAAUUCUUUAUCCAUUAUCUAUGUUGCUUCUCACAAGUUCCAGUCAAUGUCUGAUAUUUGAAAUUCUAGCUCAUGUCUUCCCUUAUCCUUAUCGUAUGUGUCUUCCGUGGAGAAAAAAAUCCCACCGCUGUACCAGUUCCAUACCCUUCGUAACUAGUUGUACCCAAAAUUUUGUUACCAGGGACACGUCUCCUUCACGUAUUUUCUCCACACGACAGCAGGCACUCGUUCUCACCUCCCCCUCCAUCGCGCGCAGGCGCUGUUCGCUCGCCGUGGAGCUCCCCUGCUGGCGCGCCGGUUCCCUGCUCCGUGGUGCUCGCCGGCGUUUCCUCCAGCAUGUCCCAUGGUUGUCCAGCCCCCACCUCCAUGAUGGCCGAGCUCUCUCUCUCUCCCACGGUCGUCUCCCUCCCCUGCUCGUCCAUGGUGUCCGGUCGCUGCUCGGAUUUUGUCCGUGCCGAGCUCCCUUCGUCACGCCCCUGCUCCUUGUCUCACACGCGUCCCUGCUCCAGUCUUAUCCAUGGUCGCUCCUCUCCUUUCCCUGAUUAAUACUAGGCGCAGCAGCAACAUGCCAGAUCUCUAUAGCCCAGGUGAGACCAACUGCUUGUGUCCUGUUUAUUCCCCACCGAUUCCUAUAUUUGAUUAUUUACUGUAUAUGUUUGUGUGUUUGUGGUGGAGGUAAAUCCUAGGAAAUUUAGAUGAGAAGAAAGCUUUAGCGAGGCGCUUGCCAAGUGCUUGGUGAAUCGCUUCAACCGGAUGCGGUUGUCGAUCUCGCGGAGUCGAGUCGAGUUUAGUCGUGGUACGUUAACUAAUCGCAUGGUAUGGAGGACAAGAGAUGGAUUGAUCAUAAGACGAUGCUGAUGGACGAAACUAAAGUGGAUGAAUCAACCAAAUGCCAGGAUGGGGGGUGCUCGUCAAGCGAGUAUCAUUUAACAACACUAACGUAGUGUUAUACCAGGCAAGCCCCGGUGCAUUUGCCACCUUCCUUGUGUUUACAAAAUUUUAUCACUUAUAUGCUGCAUUAGGUGAUAGGAGUUGAGUGAUUAAACACUUGAUGCAUUACCAUCCUUGAAAGGUUGAUUACCACACCUUGUCACCCGUUUUAUAAAAGCUAGAGAUGCUUAGUCUUGCUGAUAGAUUAAGAAACAUAUUUUUGAUCUAUGACUCAUGUUUUUACAAAAAAAGAAAAUGGGCUUGGGAUAAUGAAAGCAUCAAGACGUUGAUAAAUUCAUUAUCCAGGCAUGGCCCCUCUGUCAGGCGCCAAAUUUUUGAAAUAGUUUAAAAUGGGACCAGACGUUGAGCAGGAAAGGUCGCCCGUCUGUGUCGAUUAAGGACCGUACCGAUUGUUGGCCUGAUGAUCUAGGACCUUUUAACUGGCCACAUACCUCGUCAUGGGUAAGCCUGAACCCGGCUAUUCCAUACGUGAAAAGACAACCGCGCACUGGGCGUGGGAGAUGGUGGGAGUAGCAGUUACCCUCCUGGCAAGAGGCUGGAUGGUAGGGUAAUGUGCUCCCAGGUAGCACGGACCGGUUCAUGUAGUGGAGGAUCCGUGGGAAUGGUUGACAUAUGCAAGGGUCAAGUGCUACAUAUGUCGUGUGGUUGGAGAUCCCCAGCUGGGUAUUAAUCGAUUCGGAUCGCCGUUACUUCUCGGAUAUGAAGACUGGAUCGCUGCCCUUCAUCGUAGAUAACAAGCGAAACAAAAAUUUGAUUUUAAAAGAAAGUUAGUGUAGGAUAAGUGAAUGCUCUAGAUUAGGUAAAUCUAGAUUCAGGAAAAGUAUUUAACUUGUGAUGUAAAACUUUGGCAUAAGGAUCCACUACUAGUAAGCUUUUCUGCAAAAAUGAGUCUUUGAAAUUUGAUAAGCUUUACCUUGAUUCCCGACAAACCAACAUAUCCUUGAGAGUCUUUUCUUUAGUCGGGUAAGUCUUGCUGAGUAAUUCCAUACUCAGGGUUUUAUUCCCUGUUGUUUUCAGGUUGUAAUUUUGUUCUGUUGUGGAUGGUGCUAAGUGCCGGUGGGCUCGGCCUUCUUAUAUAAGUAUAUCCCUUCUAUAGUUUCUUUAAUGAGGAUUGUCACUUAAGCUAGCAUGUAUUUUCAAAUUUACGAAUACUUUAUAACAUUUCAAAUUGUAAUUCUUUUGAAUCACUUUCUUUUGUAAUCUUUUGUAAUCACUCCGAUGAGGUAUAAUAAUAUCUUGAUAAACUUGUAAUCA
This is a long non-coding RNA of Zea mays, 2456 nucleotides long. RefSeq lists it as uncharacterized. The record is from RefSeq and is a predicted model, not a curated record. NCBI's taxonomy places the organism in Eukaryota, Viridiplantae, Streptophyta, Magnoliopsida, Poales, Poaceae. The transcript has 2 exons.